AAAUUGAAGAGUUUGAUCAUGGCUCAGAUUGAACGCUGGCGGCAGGCCUAACACAUGCAAGUCGAACGGUAACAGGAAGCAGCUUGCUGCUUCGCUGACGAGUGGCGGACGGGUGAGUAAUGUCUGGGAAACUGCCUGAUGGAGGGGGAUAACUACUGGAAACGGUGGCUAAUACCGCAUAACGUCGCAAGACCAAAGAGGGGGACCUUCGGGCCUCUUGCCAUCAGAUGUGCCCAGAUGGGAUUAGCUUGUUGGUGAGGUAACGGCUCACCAAGGCGACGAUCCCUAGCUGGUCUGAGAGGAUGACCAGCCACACUGGAACUGAGACACGGUCCAGACUCCUACGGGAGGCAGCAGUGGGGAAUAUUGCACAAUGGGCGCAAGCCUGAUGCAGCCAUGCCGCGUGUAUGAAGAAGGCCUUCGGGUUGUAAAGUACUUUCAGCGGGGAGGAAGGUGUUGUGGUUAAUAACCACAGCAAUUGACGUUACCCGCAGAAGAAGCACCGGCUAACUCCGUGCCAGCAGCCGCGGUAAUACGGAGGGUGCAAGCGUUAAUCGGAAUUACUGGGCGUAAAGCGCACGCAGGCGGUCUGUCAAGUCGGAUGUGAAAUCCCCGGGCUCAACCUGGGAACUGCAUUCGAAACUGGCAGGCUUGAGUCUUGUAGAGGGGGGUAGAAUUCCAGGUGUAGCGGUGAAAUGCGUAGAGAUCUGGAGGAAUACCGGUGGCGAAGGCGGCCCCCUGGACAAAGACUGACGCUCAGGUGCGAAAGCGUGGGGAGCAAACAGGAUUAGAUACCCUGGUAGUCCACGCCGUAAACGAUGUCUACUUGGAGGUUGUGCCCUUGAGGCGUGGCUUCCGGAGCUAACGCGUUAAGUAGACCGCCUGGGGAGUACGGCCGCAAGGUUAAAACUCAAAUGAAUUGACGGGGCCCGCACAAGCGGUGGAGCAUGUGGUUUAAUUCGAUGCAACGCGAAGAACCUUACCUGGUCUUGACAUCCACGGAAGUUUUCAGAGAUGAGAAUGUGCCUUCGGGAACCGUGAGACAGGUGCUGCAUGGCUGUCGUCAGCUCGUGUUGUGAAAUGUUGGGUUAAGUCCCGCAACGAGCGCAACCCUUAUCCUUUGUUGCCAGCGAUUAGGUCGGGAACUCAAAGGAGACUGCCAGUGAUAAACUGGAGGAAGGUGGGGAUGACGUCAAGUCAUCAUGGCCCUUACGACCAGGGCUACACACGUGCUACAAUGGCGCAUACAAAGAGAAGCGACCUCGCGAGAGCAAGCGGACCUCAUAAAGUGCGUCGUAGUCCGGAUUGGAGUCUGCAACUCGACUCCAUGAAGUCGGAAUCGCUAGUAAUCGUGGAUCAGAAUGCCACGGUGAAUACGUUCCCGGGCCUUGUACACACCGCCCGUCACACCAUGGGAGUGGGUUGCAAAAGAAGUAGGUAGCUUAACCUUCGGGAGGGCGCUUACCACUUUGUGAUUCAUGACUGGGGUGAAGUCGUAACAAGGUAACCGUAGGGGAACCUGCGGUUGGAUCACCUCCUUACCUGAAAGAAGC
This 1553-nucleotide ribosomal RNA is filed under the name Salmonella enterica. Its description in RNAcentral is "bacterial SSU rRNA". It matches the Rfam family "Bacterial small subunit ribosomal RNA". Lineage: Bacteria; Pseudomonadati; Pseudomonadota; Gammaproteobacteria; Enterobacterales; Enterobacteriaceae. The record is from RNAcentral.